UGGGGAAUAUUGGACAAUGGGGGCAACCCUGAUCCAGCCAUGCCGCGUGAGUGAUGAAGGCCUUCGGGUUGUAAAGCUCUUUUGGCGGGGACGAUGAUGACGGUACCCGCAGAAUAAGCCCCGGCUAACUUCGUGCCAGCAGCCGCGGUAAGACGAAGGGGGCAAGCGUUGUUCGGAAUUACUGGGCGUAAAGCGCGUGUAGGUGGUUGUCCUAGUCAGGUGUGAAAGCCUUGAGCUCAACUCGAGAACUGCACUUGAUACUGGGCGGCUAGAGGACCGGAGAGGAUAGUGGAAUUCCCAGUGUAGUGGUGAAAUACGUAGAGAUUGGGAAGAACACCAGUGGCGAAGGCGGCUAUCUGGACGGUUUCUGACACUAAGACGCGAAAGCGUGGGGAGCAAACAGG
This 404-nucleotide ribosomal RNA is filed under the name uncultured bacterium. RNAcentral describes it as "bacterial SSU rRNA". It matches the Rfam family "Bacterial small subunit ribosomal RNA", at positions 355 to 776 of the family's 1533-position model. The record is from RNAcentral.